Molecule: RNA transcript, 700 nt
Organism: Prionailurus viverrinus (fishing cat)
Lineage: Eukaryota; Metazoa; Chordata; Mammalia; Carnivora; Felidae
Gene: MISFA
Gene name: mitochondrial sheath formation associated
Exons: 6
Source: RefSeq, a predicted model, not a curated record
UCCAACGCCCAGGCUCAGCGGCCGCUCCGCCCGGGAGUCGAACCAGCGCCCCAGCGUGGACCCUGAGCGCCGUCGGAAAGGCGUUAGCGCCCAAGGGGUCACAACCCAGCUUGCUGGAAGGAAACUUGGGGACAUCUGUAAGGAGAGGAAUAGGAAAGACCCGAGGAGAAGCAGUAAAGGAGGGCGUUGCGGAUCCUUUGGAGCCAAGGACUGGAACUGCCAUGCAAGAACUCUACCAACUGAGGGUUUCAUGAGCGCACUCCCCUGCCAAGAUCUUGGUGAAUAGUCUUUCACUGUGCAAUUGUGUCUUAGACAUUGUUUUACUUGUUAUCAUGAUUGUGCUUGGCUGGAUGCUUUUUGUUGGACUUGCAUGUUACAUGGGCACAUUUCCAGAGUUCACGCCUCCAACCCUGAAGUGGAAAGAGAAGUGGCCUGUUCAGGAGAGCAAGACACGACUGAGGAGCCUGACUUUGGAUGAAGAACCACAACUAUGAGAACCAUGUGGAAAGGAUAUAAGUAUCCCCCAGGAGGGACCCCGGUGGAAAUAAGCAAAGAUGAUCCUGGUGAAGUCAUGCAGCUCUGAAGCUCACCUGGCCUGCUGUAGAGCUCCUGUUGUUGGUUUCGCAUAAAUUUCUUCAAAGGUUUGUGAGCUUUUUGUAAGAGCCGUCAGGAAUUGCAGAACAAAACGGAAGACAGGAUU